AGAGUUUGAUCCUGGCUCAGAACGAACGCUGGCGGCGUGCUUAACACAUGCAAGUCGAACGCGAAAGGGACUUCGGUCCUGAGUAAAGUGGCGCACGGGUGAGUAACGCGUGGAUAAUCUACCCAAUGAUCCGGGAUAACAUUUCGAAAGGGGUGCUAAUACCGGAUAAGACCACGGAGUCUCUGGAUUCUGCGGUAAAAGGUGGGGACCUUCGGGCCUACCGUCAUCGGAUGAGUCCGCGUACCAUUAGCUAGUUGGCAGGGUAAUGGCCUACCAAGGCAACGAUGGUUAGCUGGUCUGAGAGGAUGAUCAGCCACACUGGAACUGAGACACGGUCCAGACUCCUACGGGAGGCAGCAGUGGGGAAUUUUGCGCAAUGGGGGAAACCCUGACGCAGCAACGCCGCGUGAGUGAUGAAGGCUUUCGGGUCGUAAAGCUCUGUCAGAAGGGAAGAAAUGUGGGUGGCUAAUAUCCAUACCACCUGACGGUACCUUCAAAGGAAGCACCGGCUAACUCCGUGCCANNNNCCGCGGUAAUACGGAGGGUGCGAGCGUUGUUCGGAAUUAUUGGGCGUAAAGAGCGUGUAGGCGGCCUGAUGUGUCAGAUGUGAAAGCCCUGGGCUUAACCCAGGAAGUGCAUUUGAAACUGUCAGGCUUGAGUAGGGGAGAGGGAAGUGGAAUUCCUGGUGUAGAGGUGAAAUUCGUAGAUAUCAGGAGGAACACCGGUGGCGAANGCGACUUCCUGGCCCUAUACUGACGCUGAGACGCGAGAGCGUGGGUAGCAAACAGGAUUAGAUACCCUGGUAGUC
Molecule: ribosomal RNA, 808 nt
Filed under: uncultured bacterium
Lineage: Bacteria
Description: bacterial SSU rRNA
Rfam family: Bacterial small subunit ribosomal RNA
Source: RNAcentral